Molecule: ribosomal RNA, 253 nt
Filed under: uncultured bacterium
Lineage: Bacteria
Description: partial 16S ribosomal RNA
Rfam family: Bacterial small subunit ribosomal RNA
Source: RNAcentral
UACAGAGGGUGCGAGCGUUGUCCGGAAUCACUGGGCAUAAAGAGCACGUAGGCUGCGCGCUAAGUCAGGUGUGAAAUCCCCCGGCUCAACCGGGGAACUGCACCUGAUACUGGCGUGCUCGAGGACGGUAGGGGUGAGUGGAACUCCAGGUGGAGCGGUGAAAUGCGUAGAUAUCUGGAGGAACACCGGUGGCGAAAGCGGCUCACUGGACCGUCUCUGACGCUGAGGUGCGAAAGCUAGGGUAGCAAACGGG